AUUGAACGCUGGCGGCAGGCCUAACACAUGCAAGUCGAGCGGAUGAAGGGAGCUUGCUCCUGGAUUCAGCGGCGGACGGGUGAGUAAUGCCUAGGAAUCUGCCUGGUAGUGGGGGAUAACGUCCGGAAACGGGCGCUAAUACCGCAUACGUCCUGAGGGAGAAAGUGGGGGAUCUUCGGACAUCACGCUAUCAGAUGAGCCUAGGUCGGAUUAGCUAGUUGGUGGGGUAAAGGCCUACCAAGGCGACGAUCCGUAACUGGUCUGAGAGGAUGAUCAGUCACACUGGAACUGAGACACGGUCCAGACUCCUAAGGGAGGCAGCAGUGGGGAAUAUUGGACAAUGGGCGAAAGCCUGAUCCAGCCAUGCCGCGUGUGUGAAGAAGGUCUUCGGAUUGUAAAGCACUUUAAGUUGGGAGGAAGGGCAGUAAGUUAAUACCUUGCUGUUUUGACGUUACCAACAGAAUAAGCACCGGCUAACUUCGUG
Molecule: ribosomal RNA, 484 nt
Filed under: uncultured bacterium
Lineage: Bacteria
Description: partial 16S ribosomal RNA
Rfam family: Bacterial small subunit ribosomal RNA
Source: RNAcentral